Molecule: ribosomal RNA, 497 nt
Filed under: uncultured bacterium
Lineage: Bacteria
Description: partial 16S ribosomal RNA
Rfam family: Bacterial small subunit ribosomal RNA
Source: RNAcentral
GAUGAACGCUGGCGGCGUGCCUAAUACAUGCAAGUCGAGCGAACAGAUAAGGAGCUUGCUCCUUUGACGUUAGCGGCGGACGGGUGAGUAACACGUGGGUAACCUACCUAUAAGACUGGGAUAACUUCGGGAAACCGGAGCUAAUACCGGAUAACAUUUGGAACCGCAUGGUUCUAAAGUGAAAGAUGGUUUUGCUAUCACUUAUAGAUGGACCCGCGCCGUAUUAGCUAGUUGGUAAGGUAACGGCUUACCAAGGCAACGAUACGUAGCCGACCUGAGAGGGUGAUCGGCCACACUGGAACUGAGACACGGUCCAGACUCCUACGGGAGGCAGCAGUAGGGAAUCUUCCGCAAUGGGCGAAAGCCUGACGGAGCAACGCCACGUGAGUGAUGAAGGGUUUCGGCUCGUAAAACUCUGUUAUUAGGGAAGAACAAAUGUGUAAGUAACUGUGCACGUCUUGACGGUACCUAAUCAGAAAGCCACGGCUAACUACGUG